This 425-nucleotide ribosomal RNA is filed under the name uncultured Lachnospiraceae bacterium. RNAcentral's name for it is "bacterial SSU rRNA". It matches the Rfam family "Bacterial small subunit ribosomal RNA", at positions 355 to 794 of the family's 1533-position model. The record is from RNAcentral. Lineage: Bacteria; Bacillati; Bacillota; Clostridia; Lachnospirales; Lachnospiraceae.
UGGGGAAUAUUGGGCAAUGGACGCAAGUCUGACCCAGCAACGCCGCGUGAAGGAAGAAGGCUUUCGGGUUGUAAACUUCUUUUGUCAGGGAAGAGUAGAAGACGGUACCUGACGAAUAAGCCACGGCUAACUACGUGCCAGCAGCCGCGGUAAUACGUAGGGGGCAAGCGUUAUCCGGAUUUACUGGGUGUAAAGGGAGCGUAGGCGGUUUGGGCAAGUCAGAAGUGAAAGCCCAAGGCUUAACCAUGGGACUGCUUUUGAAACUGUCAGACUGGAUUGCAGGAGAGGUAAGUGGAAUUCCUGGUGUAGCGGUGAAAUGCGUAGAUAUCAGGAGGAACACCGGUGGCGAAGGCGGCUUACUGGACUGUAAAUGACGCUGAGGCUCGAAAGCGUGGGGAGCAAACAGGAUUAGAUACCCUGGUAGU